AUGCGGGCAUAUCACGUUUAAACACCAGUUCUCGUACGAUCACCGAAGUUAAGCAACGUUGAGCCUGGUCAAUAUCUAGAUGGGUGAUUGCUUGGGAAUAUUAGGUGCUGUAAG
Non-coding RNA from Acanthosepion pharaonis, 114 nucleotides. NCBI's taxonomy places the organism in Eukaryota, Metazoa, Mollusca, Cephalopoda, Sepiida, Sepiidae. The record is from the annotation of a GenBank genome assembly.